Molecule: long non-coding RNA, 305 nt
Organism: Sinocyclocheilus rhinocerous
Lineage: Eukaryota; Metazoa; Chordata; Actinopteri; Cypriniformes; Cyprinidae
Exons: 3
Source: RefSeq, a predicted model, not a curated record
CAUGCGUGUCAACAAUUUCACAGUCAUUGAUAACGUAUUUUGUCUUUUAAAUCACGGGGUAUCCAUAAAUUCUGUAUUUGGAGGUCUGAUAAUACAACAAAAUGAAGCUCAAAUCCAAGCCCCCAUCUCAUAAAUCAGAAAACACGUACCGCUUUGUGACGUUUUCUGAGAGGCUCGCAAAAGUAAACAUUGAUGUCAUUCAUCGCAUUGACAGGACUGGAAGUUAUACAGAGGAGGUAGAAACCUAUUUUUAUGAAGCCCUAAUAAAAUGGAAAGACCUGAAUUUGACAGAUCACUUCAGUAAG